AUGUAGUGAGGGCCAGCCGACUAGAGCAUACAAGUCGCAGUGGUGGGUGGUAUAAGGUGCUUUAGUGACAAAACGGAUGGCACUGUGAUAGACUGCAUCCAGUUUGCUGAGUAGAGUGUUGGAAGCCAUUUUGUAGAUGACAUCGCCGAAGUCGAGGAUCGGUAGGAUAGUCAGUUUUACUAGGGUAAGCUUGGCAGCGUGAGUGAAGGAGGCUUUGUUGCGGAAUAGAAAGCCGACUCUGGAUUUGAUUUUUGAUUGGAGAUGUUUGAUGUGAGUCUGGAAGGAGAGUUUGCAGUCUAGCCAGACACCUAGGUACUUAUAGAUGUCCACAUAUUCAAGGUUGGAACCAUCCAGGGUGGUGAUGCUAGUCGGGCAUGCGGGUGCAGGCAGCGAUCGGUUGAAAAGCAUGCAUUUGGUUUUACUCGCGUUUAAGAGCAGUUGGAGGCCACGGAAGGAGUGCUGUAUGGCAUUGAAGCUCGUUUGGAGGUUUGAUAGCACAGUGUCCAAUGACGGGCCGAAAGUAUAUAGAAUGGCAUGAGGUCUGAGGUCCUCCCUAUAGCUCCCCUACCAAGCCUGAGGUCUGAGGUCCUCCCUAUAGCUCCUCUACCAAGCCUGAGGUCCUCCCUAUAGCUCCUCUACCAAGCCUGAGGUCUGAGGUCCUCCCUAUAACUCCCCUACCAAGCCUGAGGUCUGAGGUCCUCCCUACAGCUCCCCUACCAAGCCUGAGGUCCGCCCUAUAGCUCCUCUACCAAGCCUGAGGUCUGAGGUCCACCCUAUAGCUCCCCUACCAAGCCUGAGGUCUGAGGUCCUCCCUAUAGCUCCCCUACCAAGCCUGAGGUCUGAGGUCCUCCCUAUAGCUCCUCUACCAAGCCUGAGGUCUGAGGCCCUCCCUAUAGCUCCCCUACCACGCCUGAGGUCUGAGGUCCACCCUAUAGCUCCCCUACCAAGCCUGAGGUCCUCCCUAUAGCUCCUCUACCAAGCCUGAGGUCCUCCCUAUAGCUCCUCUACCAAGCCUGAGGUCUGAGGUCCUCCCUAUAGCUCCUCUACCAAGCCUGAG
Long non-coding RNA from Oncorhynchus keta (chum salmon), 1057 nucleotides. RefSeq lists it as uncharacterized. The record is from RefSeq and is a predicted model, not a curated record. The transcript has 3 exons. Lineage: Eukaryota; Metazoa; Chordata; Actinopteri; Salmoniformes; Salmonidae.